GAUGAACGCUGGCGGCGUGCCUAAUACAUGCAAGUCGAGCGAACAGACGAGGAGCUUGCUCCUCUGACGUUAGCGGCGGACGGGUGAGUAACACGUGGAUAACCUACCUAUAAGACUGGGAUAACUUCGGGAAACCGGAGCUAAUACCGGAUAAUAUAUUGAACCGCAUGGUUCAAUAGUUAAAGACGGUUUUGCUGUCACUUAUAGAUGGAUCCGCGCCGCAUUAGCUAGUUGGUAAGGUAACGGCUUACCAAGGCAACGAUGCGUAGCCGACCUGAGGGGUGGAUCGGCCACACUGGAACUGAGACACGGUCCAGACUCCUACGGGAGGCAGCAGUAGGGAAUCUUCCGCAAUGGGCGAAAGCUUGACGGAGCAACGCCGCGUGAGUGAUGAAGGUCUUCGGAUCGUAAAACUCUGUUAUUAGGGAAGAACAAAUGUGUAAGUAACUAUGCACGUCUUGACGGUACCUAAUCAGAAAGCCACGGCUAACUACGUG
This 497-nucleotide ribosomal RNA is filed under the name uncultured bacterium. RNAcentral's name for it is "partial 16S ribosomal RNA". It matches the Rfam family "Bacterial small subunit ribosomal RNA", at positions 28 to 507 of the family's 1533-position model. The record is from RNAcentral.